CCAUCGAGUCUUUGAACSCAAGUUGCGCCCGAAGCCGUCAGGCCGAGGGCACGUCGGCCUGGGUGUCACGCAACGUCGCCAACGCCCAGACCCCUGGGCGCGGCGGAUGAUGGCCUCCCGGGACCCUCGCCUCCCGGCUGGCCGAAAGAGGGGCCCGACGUGACGACCGCCACGAUCCAGGUGGUUGAGCGAGCAYUCGCUCUAGGCCAAGGCGUGCGCGCGUCGUCCCACGGCGAGGGCCCGUGGAUAGGGCGUUCGGCAGCAGAGCCCUCCGCCCGCACGCACGCGACCCCAGGUCAGGCGGGGCUACCCGCUGAGUUUAAGCAUAUCAAUAAGCGGAGGAAAAGAAACUAACGAGGAUUCCCCUAGUAACGGCGA
Molecule: ribosomal RNA, 378 nt
Filed under: Archidendron alternifoliolatum
Lineage: Eukaryota; Viridiplantae; Streptophyta; Magnoliopsida; Fabales; Fabaceae
Description: eukaryotic LSU rRNA
Source: RNAcentral